GUGGGUGUGGCUCAGUGGCAGAACACUGGCCUAGCCUGUGAGGGGCCCUGGGUUCAAUCCCCAGCACCACA
RNAcentral lists this transfer RNA (71 nucleotides) under Marmota monax (woodchuck). RNAcentral's name for it is "tRNA.Ala". The record is from RNAcentral. Lineage: Eukaryota; Metazoa; Chordata; Mammalia; Rodentia; Sciuridae.